GCGGAUGGAAUACGUGCGAAAGACCGCUCGAACGGAUAUCUGACAGAACGGAAACAGACACACAAGCUAUUUCAAUUGGGAAAGUCAAUUCUCGACAACGGACGCAGCGGCCGCAGGCAGACGUUCGUCGGGCAAGAAGUAAGGCGGGACACCCGAAGUGCACUCGGAGAACGCAAGCGGGAAACCGAAUAAUUAGAUGUGAGCCGGAAAGCAGUGUUGUUUUUGCAAAGAGAGACAAAUGUUUACCUUCCCCGUACGAUGGCUACUAAACGGCAAGCAAGGUGACAAGUUUAACGAACCUGUACGCGCCCUUCCCGAUACAAGGAAGACUCGGGAAAGGAUUGAAAUGUGUCGAUCUACACGCAAUGUUCUGGGAAUAGCAGCAGUAGAACCAACAAGAAGCGCUCGAUCAUUAACAGAUGGCUGUAAGUACUCUAACGAUU
Molecule: long non-coding RNA, 443 nt
Filed under: Androctonus crassicauda
Lineage: Eukaryota; Metazoa; Arthropoda; Arachnida; Scorpiones; Buthidae
Source: RNAcentral